GAUGAAGAACGUAGCGAAAUGCGAUAAGUAAUGUGAAUUGCAGAAUUCAGUGAAUCAUCGAAUUUUUGAACGCACCUUGCGCCCCUUGGUAUUCCGAGGAGCAUGCCUGUUUGAGUGUCAGUAAAUUCUCAAACCCUUCCAGCUUUUUGUAGUUGGCUCUGGGUCUUGGAUGUGGAGGUGUUGCAGGCCUUUUUGAGGUCAGCUCCCCUGAAAUGCAUUAGCAGAACCGUUUACAAUCCAUCACAGGUGUGAUAAUUAUCUACGCCAGUGGGUUGCUCUCUGUCACUGUUCAGCUUACAAUUGUCCCAUUCUUGUGGACCAACUAUUGCUGAUUCUUUGACCUCAAAUCAGGUAGGACUACCCGCUGAACUUAAGCAUAUCAAUAAGCGGAGGA
RNAcentral lists this unclassified non-coding RNA (394 nucleotides) under soil metagenome. RNAcentral describes it as "partial contains 5.8S ribosomal RNA, internal transcribed spacer 2, and large subunit ribosomal RNA". The stretch from base 1 to 120 matches the Rfam family "5.8S ribosomal RNA", at positions 35 to 154 of the family's 154-position model. The record is from RNAcentral.